RNAcentral lists this unclassified non-coding RNA (278 nucleotides) under Thanatephorus cucumeris. RNAcentral's name for it is "partial internal transcribed spacer region". The stretch from base 1 to 46 matches the Rfam family "Eukaryotic small subunit ribosomal RNA", at positions 1786 to 1831 of the family's 1831-position model. The record is from RNAcentral. Lineage: Eukaryota; Fungi; Basidiomycota; Agaricomycetes; Cantharellales; Ceratobasidiaceae.
AAGUCGUAACAAGGUUUCCGUAGGUGAACCUGCGGAAGGAUCAUUAUUGAAUUUAAUGUGGAGUUGGUUGUAGCUGGCCUUGGAUUUAAUUUUCCCUGGCAUGUGCACACCUUCUCUUUCAUCCACACACACCUGUGAACCUGUGAGACAGUAGUUUGGGGACUUUAUUGAACCCACUUCUGUCUACUUAAUUUAUAUAAACUCAAUUUAAUUUAAAACGAAUGUAAUGGAUGUAACGCAUCUAAUACUAAGUUUCAACAACGGAUCUCUUGGCUCUC